Molecule: long non-coding RNA, 307 nt
Filed under: Carica papaya (papaya)
Lineage: Eukaryota; Viridiplantae; Streptophyta; Magnoliopsida; Brassicales; Caricaceae
Description: long non-coding RNA (CPAP_LNC012726)
Source: RNAcentral
AUUCUGAGCGGAGGGGAGGAAAAUCUUACUUUUUUAGCGUCAGUGUUGGCUCCAGUGCAGCAGCAAUGGUGGCCGAUCUCCUUCUCCAGCGUCUGGUUCACUUCCCAUCCGCCCUUCUUCUUCUUCUCUGAUCACCCCUCCGUCGGUUAGGGUUUUGGUUUCCUACCAAAAAGAGUUUAAGUACUCCUCUCCAUUAAAUCUGGGUUGUCCGUUCGACACGACGUGGUCCAUCCGUAACUGUUUGAUCUCUCUUUUUUGAAAAAUUAAUUUAGACCGCACAGUCUGAUCAAAUCCAACCGUUCAAUUG